AAAAAAAAAGCAAAAAACAAAAAGCAGGAAGAAGAAAAGUAAAACACACACGUCGAACCAAGAUUGUCUUUAUGAUGUAUCGUGUUUGUGUGCUUGCUUUACUCUUUUCUGCCA
This 114-nucleotide non-coding RNA is filed under the name Fibrocapsa japonica. The record is from RNAcentral. Lineage: Eukaryota; Raphidophyceae; Chattonellales; Chattonellaceae.